This 301-nucleotide ribosomal RNA is filed under the name uncultured bacterium. Its description in RNAcentral is "partial 16S ribosomal RNA". It matches the Rfam family "Bacterial small subunit ribosomal RNA", at positions 509 to 807 of the family's 1533-position model. The record is from RNAcentral.
CAGCAGCCACGGUAAUACAGAGGGUGCAAGCGUUAAUCGGAAUUACUGGGCGUAAAGCGCGCGUAGGUGGUUCGCCAAGUUGGAUGUGAAAUCCCCGGGCUCAACCUGGGAACUGCAUCCAAAACUGGCGAGCUAGAGUAUGGGAGAGGUGAGUGGAAUUUCCGGUGUAGCGGUGAAAUGCGUAGAUAUCGGAAGGAACACCUGUGGCGAAAGCGGCUCACUGGACCAUUACUGACGCUGAGGCGCGAAAGCUAGGGGAGCAAACAGGAUUAGAUACCCGAGUAGUCCCUGUCUCUUAUAC